This is a long non-coding RNA of Nematolebias whitei (Rio pearlfish), 505 nucleotides long. RefSeq lists it as uncharacterized. The record is from RefSeq and is a predicted model, not a curated record. The transcript has 3 exons. Lineage: Eukaryota; Metazoa; Chordata; Actinopteri; Cyprinodontiformes; Rivulidae.
CAAGGCUGAAACUCAUCUCGUCCUCCAGGCUUUCCUUGAACAAACUCUUUCCACUCCCCACAAAGACAGACCAGGUAGAGUGGGUGGAGCAUAUGAUGACCAAAACAAGUACAGCUUCAAGCCCCAGUCCAAGUCUAAGUUAAACGAUGGACAUAACUAUCAGACUGAAGAUGAAGAUAAGAAUAGUGCUGGGAUCAGAGACUUCAUAAAACACCUGCCUCAUCGGAACACAAUCUUUCGUUCUAAAGACCCUAAAGGCUCACUGACCAAGAUCAGCAAGACUAAACACUCUCAAAGAGAGGAUACCCUGUCCCCAUCUUCAUCAUCAGACGAAGACGACAGUGAGAAGAAAUGGAGGCGACAUCAAAUCUCUAUAAGAAAAAAGCUCAAUUUGUUCUUCAAAAAGAAGGUAAAAGAGAAGAAGGAGAGGGACAAAGAGCAGAGACCAGAUGAAGGUGGCCCUCAUCCUCAGAGGCCCACUGAUCUGCCGACUGCUAAAGAACCA